UCCUUACCCCUUCAUUUCUUUGGCACAGGUCCUUUUUCAGAAGUGACAAACAUGUGGGGACAGCACACUUGAAGCUGGACAAGCUGGAAUCAGAAUGUGAAGUUAGAGAGAUCAUCGAGAUUUUUGAUGGCAGAAAGCCCACUGGAGGGAAACUGGAGGUAAAAGUGAGACUCAGGGAGCCCCUCAGUGGUCAAGAUCUUCAAACAGUUACAGAAAAUUGGCUGGUCCUUGAGCGUUAGUUCUGUCUGAGGUACGAACGCUGCGUCCAGAGGUGGUCUGGCAGGACUUGACAGGGCUACAGAUAAACCCUGCUUGAAUAAUGUCUUCUGUAGGCAUUGACCUAAUUACUCAGCUCUGGCUUCAGUAGCAUUCCUCUUUAUAUUUGUGGUGGGGAGUUGACAUCAUUUCAUAAAUGAGGUUACAGAAUCUCUGAUUAGUUUGUAUCUCAAAGAUGCUGUUUCACAAUCACUUGUAAUACAGGGACAGCUCCUGGUGUCACCUUUACUAAGAAUAUUAUUUAGAAAAUAAGUGAUAAAUAAUCUAUCUUGCUUUGCUUG
Cyanistes caeruleus (blue tit) is the source of this 557-nucleotide non-coding RNA. The record is from RefSeq and is a predicted model, not a curated record. NCBI's taxonomy places the organism in Eukaryota, Metazoa, Chordata, Aves, Passeriformes, Paridae.